Molecule: long non-coding RNA, 665 nt
Organism: Mandrillus leucophaeus (drill)
Lineage: Eukaryota; Metazoa; Chordata; Mammalia; Primates; Cercopithecidae
Exons: 2
Source: RefSeq, a predicted model, not a curated record
GUGGGGAGACGAGUGCCGUGGUUGGGAGCUGUUCAGCCCACUCCUGACCUCUUCUAGACCUAUGGCUUUCCUGUCCUGCAGCCAGAGCUGGAGGCCAGCACGGCCUUGCCAGAAGCAUCCAACUUUGAGACUUUGCAGGCUGCCAGAGCCCAGCCUUUGGGGGUUUCCGCAUGACCCUUCUCGGGAGACUUCUAGGAGGAUUUAUUCUCCUGGCAGUGCCGAGGGCAGCCUGCACCAAGCUCACAGUUCUUCCUCCAAGAGGAUAUUCAAAGGGCCUGUCAUUUCAGCAUCUGCCGGACAGCAGAACUUUGUGUGCAAGAUCCUGGAGCUGCGUUGGGUCUUGAAUCAGGGACAAUGGAAAUAAGUGGGAAGGUGUGAAGGGAGUCAGAGGGCUGUGCCAGCCGUCCCCCUUCCCACCUCCAGCAAUUCACUUAACUUUCCUGAGUCUCAGCUUUGUCAUUAUGAGAAUACAUAUAUUUAUAAAUAAUCAUCUGUUUCUCCAAUGUAAGAUAUUAUUGUUAUUGCAGAAGUGAUACUAGGGUCUCAUUAUACGAUGGCCUCAUGAUAUAGAUUUAUAGCAGGCUUCAGAUUCUGGCAUAGACUAAACAGAUACUUAUCCAAGGGUUCACUAACUCCCUAAUAAAUGCCAGGAACAUUCAUGUACA